This 735-nucleotide ribosomal RNA is filed under the name uncultured Pasteurellales bacterium. RNAcentral's name for it is "bacterial SSU rRNA". It matches the Rfam family "Bacterial small subunit ribosomal RNA", at positions 59 to 783 of the family's 1533-position model. The record is from RNAcentral. Lineage: Bacteria; Pseudomonadati; Pseudomonadota; Gammaproteobacteria; Pasteurellales.
AAGUCGAACGGUAACAUAAAGAAGCUUGCUUCUUUGAUGACGAGUGGCGGACGGGUGAGUAAUGCUUGGGAAUCUAGCUUAUGGAGGGGGAUAACUACGGGAAACUGUAGCUAAUACCGCGUAAUAUCGAAAGAUUAAAGUGUGGGACCUUCGGGCCACAUGCCAUAGGAUGAGCCCAAGUGGGAUUAGGUAGUUGGUGAGGUAAAGGCUCACCAAGCCGACGAUCUCUAGCUGGUCUGAGAGGAUGACCAGCCACACUGGGACUGAGACACGGCCCAGACUCCUACGGGAGGCAGCAGUGGGGAAUAUUGCGCAAUGGGGGCAACCCUGACGCAGCCAUGCCGCGUGAAUGAAGAAGGCCUUCGGGUUGUAAAGUUCUUUCGGUAGCGAGGAAGGCACUUAGUUUAAUAAACUAAGUGAUUGACGUUAACUACAGAAGAAGCACCGGCUAACUCCGUGCCAGCAGCCGCGGUAAUACGGAGGGUGCGAGCGUUAAUCGGAAUAACUGGGCGUAAAGGGCACGCAGGCGGUGACUUAAGUGAGGUGUGAAAGCCCCGGGCUUAACCUGGGAAUUGCAUUUCAUACUGGGUCGCUAGAGUACUUUAGGGAGGGGUAGAAUUCCACGUGUAGCGGUGAAAUGCGUAGAGAUGUGGAGGAAUACCGAAGGCGAAGGCAGCCCCUUGGGAAUGUACUGGCGCUCAUGUGCGAAAGCGUGGGGAGCAAACAGGAUUAGAU